RNAcentral lists this non-coding RNA (20 nucleotides) under Mus musculus (house mouse). Lineage: Eukaryota; Metazoa; Chordata; Mammalia; Rodentia; Muridae. The record is from RNAcentral.
UUGGCUGAUGGACUAGCUCU